Non-coding RNA from Megalobrama amblycephala (Wuchang bream), 484 nucleotides. The record is from the annotation of a RefSeq genome assembly. Lineage: Eukaryota; Metazoa; Chordata; Actinopteri; Cypriniformes; Xenocyprididae.
CACACACACACACACACACACACACUUAAAACAAUGAUGUCUCUUAUUCUAAUGCUGUGGACACUCGGUCUGCUCGCUCAAGUGUCUCAUCAAGAGGUUCAGUCUCCUGAGUCUCUGAGUGUUAAAGCAGGAGAGUCCGUCUCUAUGAGCUGCACUGGGACCAGCGGAGUUGGUGAUGACAUGAGCUGGUAUCUGCUGAAACCUGGAGAAGCUCCUAAACUCCUGAUCUAUACAGCAAGUGAACUUGAAUCUGGAGUCCCAGAUCGGUUCAGUGGAAGUGGAAAUGAACCUGAUUUUACACUGAACAUUCGUGGAGUCCAGCCUGAGGAUGCAGGAGUUUAUUUCUGUAUGGGGUUUUAUUCUGAUCCAGCGUUCACACAGUGAAACAACAUCGUACAAAAACUUCCCUCAGUCAGACAGUACAAUGAAUUUACUCAAGAAGUAUGAACUAAUUUACAUUAAAUGAGAAAUUAUUCCUUCAGUA